Molecule: long non-coding RNA, 1023 nt
Filed under: Penaeus japonicus
Lineage: Eukaryota; Metazoa; Arthropoda; Malacostraca; Decapoda; Penaeidae
Description: uncharacterized LOC122267045
Source: RNAcentral
ACUUUAGACUUCAAAGGGGGAGGAGUACGCUAAACCAACUGAAACUUAUAUAUUAAAUAGUCAAAAAAUACAAGUUGUCAGUCCAAUAAUACAAUAAGAAAUAAAGUGACUGAACUGUAGAGACUUCAAAAAUAGAAAAAUAACAUGUCAGUGAAUGUAAAAGGGUGUUAGUUGCAAGAUAAGGGCGCGAGUGUGAGUAUUGAUCGAGCGAGUGUGGUGGAGCCCGGUCCGUAUGCCAUGGUGGAGGCGUGAGUGAUUUUCAACGCCCGUACGCCCACACGACGCCCACGCCGCCAUGGAGGUGGUUGGGGAGUACGAAUACAGCACCAAGGACCUCAUAGGUCACGGUGCUUUCGCCGUGGUGUUCAAAGGGCGGCACAAACAGAAACCCGGCCUUACUGUUGCCAUAAAGAGCAUCACCAAGAAGAACAUUGCAAAGAGCCAGAAUCUCUUGGGGAAGGAAAUUAAGAUUCUUAAGGUGAGUUUUGAGAAGUAGAGACCGCUCCUCUUCUAGAUCUCCGGGUGAGUUUGGAGACACUAGAGACAGGCAGACAGCGAGAAGAAGGAAACGACAGGGUCAUCUUGGCACUCCGGAGGCUAAGAUAGAACUAGUAUUAUUGUUAUUACUUGGGGUUCUUAGCUAUUGUAGUGUUUGUGAUAGUCAUUUUUGGGGGGGUUGGGGUUCUUGGUUUUAAGGUUGUUAUUCUGUUGUUAUUGUCGUUUUCAUGUGUGUUGUUGUUGUUAUUAUUAUUAUUGUUGUUGUUAGCGUUACUGGGAGACGAUUUUUUUUUCAUCGACCUGAGAUCGUUGUUCUUUGUGAUUACUAUUGUUAUUCGUAAUCAGUGUUAUCAUCAUUGAUAUCAAGGUCUUUGUUGCACUCGUAAUGAUGAGACGCCACAUCCUCAAUGUCCGCGAUAAGGACGAUUAUCAGGGACAAUUUUUAAUGCGAGCCGUGUUCUUUGUCAGCCAUUUGAGCAUGGGUGGCUGACAACGGCCGCUCCUCCAUGAGAUGCGGGUGCGAGA